AGCCAUCUUGUUGCUUACCACAAGCUGUUCUUACACUGACCAUAUAGAAAGAGGAGGCAGAGUAAACCCACCCCUUGUACACCUCAGUUCAGACAGGCCUUUUGCCUACUCUGUAUUGUGAAUAGGGGAACAUGG
Small nucleolar RNA from Cervus hanglu yarkandensis (Yarkand deer), 135 nucleotides. NCBI's taxonomy places the organism in Eukaryota, Metazoa, Chordata, Mammalia, Artiodactyla, Cervidae. The record is from Ensembl.